CCUACGGGAGGCUGCAGUGGGGAAUAUUGGGCAAUGGGCGCAAGCCUGACCCAGCAACGCCGCGUGAAGGAAGAAGGCUUUCGGGUUGUAAACUUCUUUUCUCAGGGACGAAGAAAGUGACGGUACCUGAGGAAUAAGCCACGGCUAACUACGUGCCAGCAGCCGCGGUAAUACGUAGGUGGCAAGCGUUAUCCGGAAUUACUGGGUGUAAAGGGUGCGUAGGCGGGAUUGUAAGUCAGAUGUGAAAUCCACGGGCUCAACCUGUGGGCUGCAGUUGAAACUGUAAUUCUUGAGUGCUGGAGAGGCAGGCGGAAUUCCUAGUGUAGCGGUGAAAUGCGUAGAUAUUAGGAGGAACACCAGUGGCGAAGGCGGCCGACUGGCCUGUAACUGACGCUGAGGCACGAAAGCGUGGGGAGCAAAUAGGAUUAGAUACCCCUGUAGUC
Molecule: ribosomal RNA, 443 nt
Filed under: uncultured bacterium
Lineage: Bacteria
Description: partial 16S ribosomal RNA
Rfam family: Bacterial small subunit ribosomal RNA
Source: RNAcentral